RNAcentral lists this ribosomal RNA (164 nucleotides) under Curtobacterium sp. YR515. Its description in RNAcentral is "partial 16S rRNA. Bacterial SSU". It matches the Rfam family "Bacterial small subunit ribosomal RNA", at positions 1 to 161 of the family's 1533-position model. Lineage: Bacteria; Bacillati; Actinomycetota; Actinomycetes; Micrococcales; Microbacteriaceae. The record is from RNAcentral.
UUUUUACGGAGAGUUUGAUCCUGGCUCAGGACGAACGCUGGCGGCGUGCUUAACACAUGCAAGUCGAACGAUGAUGCCCAGCUUGCUGGGUGGAUUAGUGGCGAACGGGUGAGUAACACGUGAGUAACCUGCCCCUGACUCUGGGAUAAGCGUUGGAAACGACG